This 473-nucleotide ribosomal RNA is filed under the name uncultured bacterium. RNAcentral's name for it is "bacterial SSU rRNA". It matches the Rfam family "Bacterial small subunit ribosomal RNA", at positions 328 to 792 of the family's 1533-position model. The record is from RNAcentral.
CUCUGUGACUCCUACGGGAGGCAGCAGUGGGGAAUAUGCACAAUGGGCGCAAGCCUGAUGCAGCCAUGCCGCGUGUAUGAAGAAGGCCUUCGGGUUGUAAAGUACUUUCAGCAGUGAGGAAGGUAGUGUAGUUAAUAGCUGCAUUAUUUGACGUUAGCUGCAGAAGAAGCACCGGCUAACUCCGUGCCAGCAGCCGCGGUAAUACGGAGGGUGCGAGCGUUAAUCGGAAUUACUGGGCGUAAAAGCGCAUGCAGGUGGUUUGUUAAGUCAGAUGUGAAAGCCCGGGGCUCAACCUCGGAACUGCAUUUGAAACUGGCAGACUAGAGUACUGUAGAGGGGGUAGAAUUUCAGGUGUAGCGGUGAAAAUGCGUAGAGAUCUGAAGGAAUACCGGUGGCGAAGGCGGCCCCCUGGACAGAUACUGACACUCAGAUGCGAAAGCGUGGGGAGCAAACAGGAUUAGAUACCCUUGGAA